CCUACGUGUGGCAGCAGUGAGGACUAUUGGUCAAUGGACGAGCGUCUGAACCAGCCAAGUAGCGUGAAGGAUGACUGCCCUAUGGGUUGUAAACUUCUUUUAUAUGGGAAUCAAAUGGUCCACGUGUGGGAUUUUGUAUGUACCAUAUGAAUAAGGAUCGGCUAACUCCGUGCCAGCAGCCGCGGUAAGACGGAGGAUCAGAGCGUUAUCCGGAUUUAUUGGGUUUAAAGGGAGCGUAGGUGGAUUGUUAAGUCAGUUGUGAAAGUUUGCGGCUCAACCGUAAAAUGGCAGUUGAAACUGGGAGUCUUGAGUACAGUAGAGGUGGGCGGAAUUCGUGGUGUAGCGGGGAAAUGCUUAGAUAUCACGAAGAACUCCGAUUGCGAAGGCAGAUCACUGGACUGCAACUGACACUGAGGCUCGAAAGUGUGGGUAUCAAACAGGAUUAGAUACCCGAGUAGUC
RNAcentral lists this ribosomal RNA (460 nucleotides) under uncultured bacterium. RNAcentral's name for it is "partial 16S ribosomal RNA". It matches the Rfam family "Bacterial small subunit ribosomal RNA", at positions 338 to 795 of the family's 1533-position model. The record is from RNAcentral.